AAAAUUGCUAGCAGGGGAAGUCUCCACAAACUUUUAUUAAACUUUCCGCAGCUCUCAGCUGGUGGGAACACUUCUAUGGCUCCCUGGUGCCCUUCUGGAUGGCUAAGGCCCCCUCAUGCUUGCUCAUGGAAAGCUGUAGGAGGUAGACACAGACGGAGCUGCCCAAGGAAGAGCAGGACUGGUCCCACAGUAUGUCCUGCUGACCACCUCAUCCUGAGAAAAGGGACGUACUUGCUCCUGAGACUUCCAGGCCUUUUUAAGAAACUCAAAAUGCUCUAUAAACCCUUGAAGGGCUCCAAGAACCAGAAGUUUUUGCAUCCUGCACUGGCCCGAGUGAACCUCACAUCCUGAAAAUGAGGUGACCUGACACUCAAUAUUCUAUUGCUUGAAGGCAGCCUGGGGACCAGAGCGUGUGUCCUCGCUGCUCCUGUGCUCCGUCCUCAGGGAGGGAGGCAGCUGGUGGAGACAGUGCUCCGGUGGUAAGUAAAGCUCAUGGGUUUUAGUGAUGUCUUCCUGCUUCCAGGGUAAAUCCAAGCUCAUAGCUAGCUGAGAAAUAAACACCUGGUGAACAUGGCUGUUAAAGAAAGA
RNAcentral lists this long non-coding RNA (588 nucleotides) under Anas platyrhynchos platyrhynchos (common mallard). RNAcentral describes it as "lncRNA (ENSAPLG00000018532.1)". Lineage: Eukaryota; Metazoa; Chordata; Aves; Anseriformes; Anatidae. The record is from RNAcentral.